GGAAAAACAGAACACCGGAACUUCCGGUAGCGCCGUAAGAAGGAAAAUCAGGGAAUUCGAUGCACCUGUGCCUAGUUAGGGACAGCGGUUGGUGAUUGGAGGAUACGCUGGACAAGGCAGUACUUAAGGCCAAGUUAUUUUACAGUCUGGGAGCUCUUUCUGGCUGGAAUUGUAUGAUUACAUCGCGAACCUUAAAGGUUGAGAAGUGAACGGAUUAUACGGCGAACUGAGACGACGUGAAAAAGGGGAUUGGAAGCGGCAUUGAUGUGAGUACUAAGAGCCAGUCGAAAGUGCCCUGUAUAUUGACCUGGCGUUGUGUAGAUCUCUCCAGGAGGAGGAGGGCGGCCCUACCCCUAAUAUAGCGUGGUGGGAGAGCCGAAGGAAUACUUAUUGAAGUAG
Cyprinus carpio carpio is the source of this 399-nucleotide long non-coding RNA. Lineage: Eukaryota; Metazoa; Chordata; Actinopteri; Cypriniformes; Cyprinidae. The record is from Ensembl.